This 257-nucleotide unclassified non-coding RNA is filed under the name uncultured Pleosporaceae. RNAcentral describes it as "sequence contains 5.8S rRNA gene". The stretch from base 1 to 53 matches the Rfam family "5.8S ribosomal RNA", at positions 102 to 154 of the family's 154-position model. Lineage: Eukaryota; Fungi; Ascomycota; Dothideomycetes; Pleosporales; Pleosporaceae. The record is from RNAcentral.
GAACGCACAUUGCGCCCUUUGGUAUUCCAAAGGGCAUGCCUGUUCGAGCGUCAUUUGUACCCUCAAGCUUUGCUUGGUGUUGGGCGUUUUUGUCUCGGGUCCGCCCCGAGACUCGCCUUAAAAUCAUUGGCAGCCGGCCUACUGGUUUCGGAGCGCAGCACAUUUUUGCGCUUUGUCCAGUCGUGGUCUUGCGUCCAUGAAGCGAAUAUUUUCAACGUUUGACCUCGGAUCAGGUAGGGAUACCCGCUGAACUUAAG